GAUCAAGUCGUUUGGACUUUGGGGAAGAAACGUAAAUUCACCACUAAAUCGGUUUAUGAUUUCCUGGAGAGAAACCUAGCUGGUUGCAACUUUAAGUGAGUCUGGAGGGCAAAAAUCCCCCUCAAAAUCCAAAUCUUUCUCUGGCAGUUGUCUCAGGACUCUGUUUUGACCAGAGAUGUCAUGAACAGGCGAAGAUGGCUGGGGAGACCCAUGUGCUCCUUCUGUAAUGGAAAGGAAACCUCGCAACAUCUCUUUUUUACUUGCCCCGUGGCUAGAGUGAUGUGGAGAACAGUGGGCUGUGUGCUGGGCACGAAUCAUUGCCCUAACAACAUCUGGCAAUAUUUUGCUUGGUGUUAUACCUUCCUUCCUGAUGGGAAAGAUUUUAUACCUUUGGCCUAG
Molecule: ribosomal RNA, 399 nt
Filed under: Triticum aestivum (bread wheat)
Lineage: Eukaryota; Viridiplantae; Streptophyta; Magnoliopsida; Poales; Poaceae
Description: partial small subunit ribosomal RNA
Source: RNAcentral